AACGCUAGCUGCAGGCUUAACACAUGCAAGUCGAGGGGCAGCAUGGUCUUAGCUUGCUAAGGCCGAUGGCGACCGGCGCACGGGUGAGUAACACGUAUCCAACCUGCCGUCUACUCUUGGACAGCCUUCUGAAAGGAAGAUUAAUACAAGAUGGCAUCAUGAGUCCACAUGUUCACAUGAUUAAAGGUAUUCCGGUAGACGAUGGGGAUGCGUUCCAUUAGAUAGUAGGCGGGGUAACGGCCCACCUAGUCUUCGAUGGAUAGGGGUUCUGAGAGGAAGGUCCCCCACAUUGGAACUGAGACACGGUCCAAACUCCUACGGGAGGCAGCAGUGAGGAAUAUUGGUCAAUGGGCGAGAGCCUGAACCAGCCAAGUAGCGUGAAGGAUGACUGCCCUAUGGGUUGUAAACUUCUUUUAUAAAGGAAUAAAGUCGGGUAUGGAUACCCGUUUGCAUGUACUUUAUGAAUAAGGAUCGGCUAACUCCGUGCCAGCAGCCGCGGUAAUACGGAGGAUCCGAGCGUUAUCCGGAUUUAUUGGGUUUAAAGGGAGCGUAGAUGGAUGUUUAAGUCAGUUGUGAAAGUUUGCGGCUCAACCGUAAAAUUGCAGUUGAUACUGGAUAUCUUGAGUGCAGUUGAGGCAGGCGGAAUUCGUGGUGUAGCGGUGAAAUGCUUAGAUAUCACGAAGAACUCCGAUUGCGAAGGCAGCCUGCUAAGCUGCAACUGACAUUGAGGCUCGAAAGUGUGGGUAUCAAACAGGAUUAGAUACCCUGGUAGUCCACACGGUAAACGAUGAAUACUCGCUGUUUGCGAUAUACGGCAAGCGGCCAAGCGAAAGCGUUAAGUAUUCCACCUGGGGAGUACGCCGGCAACGGUGAAACUCAAAGGAAUUGACGGGGGCCCGCACAAGCGGAGGAACAUGUGGUUUAAUUCGAUGAUACGCGAGGAACCUUACCCGGGCUUAAAUUGCAGAUGAAUUACGGUGAAAGCCGUAAGCCGCAAGGCAUCUGUGAAGGUGCUGCAUGGUUGUCGUCAGCUCGUGCCGUGAGGUGUCGGCUUAAGUGCCAUAACGAGCGCAACCCUUGUUGUCAGUUACUAACAGGUUCCGCUGAGGACUCUGACAAGACUGCCAUCGUAAGAUGUGAGGAAGGUGGGGAUGACGUCAAAUCAGCACGGCCCUUACGUCCGGGGCUACACACGUGUUACAAUGGGGGGUACAGAGGGCCGCUACCACGCGAGUGGAUGCCAAUCCCAAAAACCUCUCUCAGUUCGGACUGGAGUCUGCAACCCGACUCCACGAAGCUGGAUUCGCUAGUAAUCGCGCAUCAGCCACGGCGCGGUGAAUACGUUCCCGGGCCUUGUACACACCGCCCGUCAAGCCAUGGGAGCCGGGGGUACCUGAAGUGCGUAACCGCGAGGAGCGCCCUAGGGUAAAACUGGUGACUGGGGC
Molecule: ribosomal RNA, 1445 nt
Filed under: uncultured organism
Description: SSU rRNA
Rfam family: Bacterial small subunit ribosomal RNA
Source: RNAcentral